This 2758-nucleotide long non-coding RNA is filed under the name Zea mays. Its description in RNAcentral is "long non-coding RNA (ZMAY_LNC005714)". Lineage: Eukaryota; Viridiplantae; Streptophyta; Magnoliopsida; Poales; Poaceae. The record is from RNAcentral.
UUUAUUACAUAGCGGAAGUCUUACAAAAUAAAAGAUAAAUAAAAAAGGAUCUAAAAUCCAUCCUUGGCGCCAGAAAAGUCAACUCGGAGACGCCACCUAUAUCGAAUCGAACUCCUCAAUGUGCGGCUCCACUUGAACCACCUAUUCUUCUCCUGUGGGGGUGUGAGACAGCAAUGGUGAGCUCACACAUGUUCAUCGCUCAACAAGUUGUGGGGAAUAACGUGGUAUGAACUCACCAAAGGUGGGAGUUCAUGUGAAGUGUAAGGUUGAUCAACAAAAUAAAGGUUGAAGCUGAGCAUUGAUUUUAUAAGUUGGUCAAAAUUUUAUUAACAAUUACUACGUAUAAGUAAAUACCAAACCUUAGUAGUAAUAAUUAAAAGUAAUAAUAAAAUAAUCCCAAUGCGAUGCAAAUGACAAAUUGAGUUUUAAUUCCAUAGAUUAAUCAUGUGAGGGUCCGAGCUGCUCGUGACCAUGAGCACGGCUAGUAUACCAGUUUUACACUCUGUAGAGGUUGCACAUCUUUACCCACAAGUCAUGUAGCCCAUCUGCCAAGGGGUCAUGAAUCUCAUACACCUCUACCAAGGAAGCGGGGCAGGGUAACACUAUGAGGCCUUUACAAAGUUCCACUAGCUUCAGGAAAACCCGCUACAGUUUAUAGGAAGCUCCAGUGCAGGAAUCCCUCGCCUGACCGCCAUUGCAGCAAAAUCAACCCAAAAACCUCCCUACACUGACCACUCCCCUACUGCCCUUGCCCCUUUCGGGUAAGGUAGUCAUCCACUAGCUUUCCUAAUUAAUCAGCCAAGGGCGUUCCAUUAAACCCUUGUGGUAGCACUGUUUUCCCGAGUGGUCGCUCCAUGUUCCAAUUAACAUAAUGAUCUUAUCAUGAACAUAAAUAACAUAACAAAAUAAUUGGAACAUAGAUAUAAUGAAAUAUUAUCCCAAAACCUUGUAAAGCAAUAGCAUAGCUACCCAAAUGAUUCAGGGGUGAACAAGGUAAAAAGGAUAAACUGUCUAAGGUGACCUAUUGGGUCCCAUCAAAAUUAAACAUAUGCAUUGAAUAGUGAUAAUAAAGAAUAUUAUUGGGUAACAAAUGUGAUUAAGGGCACAACUUGCCUGACACUUGAGAUUCUAGGUACCAGGAUGAUUCUUUAGAUCCUUGUGACCGCACUGCUAGUCGUAGAAAUACAAACAAAUAUGGUAUAGACAAAAUCAACAUCACACCAAACAUAAGAACAUAUUGCAUAAUAAUGAUCUACGCGUUGCUACGAGAUCGUGGGAACGAGAACCACUAAUACCGGAGAUACGGGUAAGGAGUUAUGAUUUUAUGGAGGAUUUAUGUGAUUAAAAUAUUAGACUAUUAUAAAUUGAUUAAUAUAAAUCAUAUGAGAGUUUAUUCUAUAAAUAAUUAUCUUAACUUUAAUCUAAGUUAUGAAUUGACCAUAGAUCAUCUUCUAGUAGAUUAUAAUGAUAAGUAGAUUAACCAGACUAACCCACAUAAAUUAAAUAAAGAUCUAAUUAGAAAAGAAUGAGACGUGGUAUAAUAAAUGUUGUUACUGUGUGGUAAAUAUUUAUAUGAAGCUAACGCAACUGGAACGAUUCAAAUCGGAAUUAGAAUGGGGAAGUUAUGAAUUUCUAAUGAUUUUGUGUUUUGCAGAGAUUAAAUAGGAUAUAAAUUUUAAUAUGACUUUCAUGUGAAAAUAGUGGUACUAGGUAAUAAACCAUAAUAUUACAAAAUUAUAGGAACUUGAAUGGACUAAAAAAGAGUUAGUAUGAAUUUUCUAUGAAUAAAAUGAGUUUUUGGAAUUACUUAUAUACUAAAAUCAUUUUCUAUAAUUAUAUAUUUAUUUUCUCUACUCCCUUGAUUGCGACCUAAAAUCUGUGAAGUGCAUGGGUCUCGGUGUAAUAAUUCCAAGACACAUGAUAUAACCUAGGUGCACGGCGGGUUGGUAAUGGAAAAGCCGAGGGGCUCUUAUGCGAAAUUGCCAUGCCGAAGGGAUCUAAGAUGGAGGGCUCGGAUUAAAUCUGCAUAUGCGCUGAACGGUACGCGAUCGUGGUCGUCGGAUUCGCGAUCUACAGUCGUUAAUUAAUGAGGCGAAGGGGUAAGUUGUUCUAAUCCCGCGCGUUCAUCCGCAAAUCAACGGCCACCGAUCAACUAUCGCCAGAUCCGAUCGGAGCCGUGUAUCCAAGAUCUAACGGUCGAGCGCUCACCCCCAUCUAACCCAACGGCCGCGACCCUAUUAUCCGGUUGCCAAAUUACGGCGGCGCAGCACCUAGCGAGGUGGUGCCAUUGCCGGCCACCACCCCGAGCUACAGCCGGUGCACGAAAUUCCAUCCGAGCUAGUGCCAUACGAGGAGUAGGGCAACGCGAGCAGCAUAGAGAGGUUCUUACUAGCGAUUUCGGAACAGAGACACCCGUCCACGGAGAGUUGCGGCUAGGUAGUGGGGACGAAUUCCGGCGAGCAAUUCGCACCAACCCCACCACCAAAUGGGCCCGUCACCGCCACGCAUCCGUUCGGCUUGAUCACGCGAUGCUUCUUGAAUACCGAAUUAGAGCCUAACGCUGGUGAAUCGGGGAUUUCGUUUCCCCGCGGCGGAUUUGCUCCCGGCAAUGGCGUGCCCCGGACGGAUGAACGAAGGAAGGAGAGGAUGCGGCGCGCGGCGAAGGGGCAUGGAAGUCGGAUUGGUAGUACGGCGCCGUGCGGAGCACGAGAAGCGUUGCCAUUGCAGGUGAGCUUCUGGAAGCUUGGGAAUGGCGGAU